UAUCCCUCCCACUUCCCUCCUCUCUUCUAGACACAUACCCCAGUCCCCAUCACCCUUUCCCCUCCUCUCCCUCCACUCUCUUCCAACUUGCCAUCUUCCUGCCUCUCCUGCCACCUUGGGUGGAGGCCCCGCCUGCAGUUUUCUAAACUAAGGACGUUUGGAAGGGAAGGUGUAAAUGCUGCUGACUGCCGCGGACAGCCCUCCACAUCCUUGUCAGCUCUUCAAACUCACUUCUCAACAUCCAUCUUCCCUUCUCCCAGGCAGCCUCUCCAGAAAAGGCCCACCUCCAUCCAGGCUACAACUCCCUGUAUGUACCCCGCUGUGGACCCAGCCAGGACCCAGCCUCCCGCCCCGCUUGCUAAGACCUGGGUGAUCUGGCGCUCGUCAGAUUAUUCAGAAGAAGCUGUCUGGUUCAGGUGGUGAAGCUCUGACCUAUGGGGGAAAAUCAGAAACUAAGAAGCCAUUUGGAUCAGUUGGUGAAACUCCAACUUCCAGGGAGGCAUGAAUGCUGGUGGAGGUAUAGCAAACUCUGUUCCAUCACAGUUCUGUUUCAUCUGUGUUCUGCUUUGAGAUUUUGCCUAGAAGACGGGAAAUGCCCCUCCUGUGUCCAAAGGAAGUGCAUUAGCACAUAUCUUGAAUAAAGAGUGCAGGAGGCUGAAAAGGAACCAGAGAAAAAGCCUACUCUGCACGAAGGGGAGACAGAAGAUGGAGAUACAGGAAUGUUAAUCCAAAUUUUGAAUAUGCCUCUGUCUUUGCCAGCAGCACCCAUGCUGCCACCGCCUCCACCACCCCCUGUUCCUGCACCACUAUGCCUAUAGCCCACACAGCCCAUUCCUGUACCACUCCAGGUGCUAUUUGCUCCUGCUCCUUUUACCCUCACUAUCAAGGAACAAAAAGCAUCCCAAGCUGUUGGACCACCUCCUCAUGAGGUUGACACUGAAGCACCUAUCAUAUCAGCACAAAGGGCCCCAGGGGCUCCCCUGGAUUUAAGCCAUCCAUUUCAGAUUUCCCCACAGAAGCCCCAGGUAAAAUGGACAGUGAGGAGCAAACUGAUUGAUUGUUUAGUGGACACAGGUGCAACAUAUUUAGAAUUAAAGCUAAUUCAAGGUUAGCUUAAUUAAAAUAAACAUGUCUUUAGAGUUAUCUGCAUCAAACAUAAAGCUUUUAUGCUACCAAGGUUUAUUAAAGGUCAAAUAAGCUCAUGUUAUCUCUGUUGCAAUUUAUCAGCAAAAAGACAACUGAAAAUGAUGGUUCAUUUCAUCUGUCUUGUGAAGUCUUCAUGGGUAAUUAUUAAGAGCAAUCAGGUUAAUAGAAAGUUUUAUAGGUAAACUUUUAAAUAGCUUUCAAAAUCAUUGGUAACCUGAAACUUUGCUAAGUUAAAAGGUAAAUUCAGUUAAAUUCAUUGGGUAUCUAGGUCUUUUCCAAAUACAUUAAAAUACUGAAAUAUUAAUCACUAAAUAUAAGAAACAAAACUUUUAUUACAGAAAAACUACAGAUAGUUGGGUCUGUUAAUAAACAUGUUUUAUGUUUUGUUGAAAGUUGUACUAUGAAAAAACACAUUCCUAUAAAUUAUAAAAUGUAUUUACAAACUUGCCAAUCUAAGGAAUUCUGGUGAAGAGUUCACAAUUGGUUAAUACUUAGUUUUCCUUGGAAACUAAGGUUUCUAAGGGUUAAAAUUCUCCUAAAUAUAAUUAAGACUGGGCGCCUGGGUGGUUCAGUCAUUUAAGCCUUCCUGAUUUCAGCUCAGGUCAUGAUCUCAGGGAUGUGAGAUCAAGACCCAUGUCAGGCUCCGAGCUGGGCAUGAAACCUCCUUAACAUUCUCCCUCUCCCUUUGUCCCUCCCCAGCACUUGCUUGCUCUCUCAUUCAGUAAAUACAUAAAUAAUAAAUAAAAUAUAUAAUUAAGACUGCUAGAGAUGAUAAGGAAAACAGCUCUGCAUGUAAGGAAAGCAAAAGAUGUGUAGCAAAGGUGUAAGGAAUGAGAACACAUUUUUGUUGAGGGAAAAGAAAGUACUUUUGUCCUGAAGGGAGACUGGUUGCUUAGAAAGGAAAAACCUAUAUCAAAAUCUGAAUGAAAAAAAGUUGUAAAAAGUUUGUGAAGGGGAAUCUUUGGGGAAAAAAAAAAUAUGCAUGGUUAGGACUAAGACUGGAAUGAAUGAGUUUUUAAAGUACACCAAAGUUUAAGUUUGGAAUUUGGUUUUUCCCUUGUUAAAAAGA
Lutra lutra (Eurasian river otter) is the source of this 2215-nucleotide long non-coding RNA. RefSeq lists it as uncharacterized. NCBI's taxonomy places the organism in Eukaryota, Metazoa, Chordata, Mammalia, Carnivora, Mustelidae. The record is from RefSeq and is a predicted model, not a curated record. The transcript is spliced from 3 exons.